This is a non-coding RNA of Helianthus annuus (common sunflower), 119 nucleotides long. The record is from Rfam. Lineage: Eukaryota; Viridiplantae; Streptophyta; Magnoliopsida; Asterales; Asteraceae.
ACCCAUUCAUUGAAUACAAAGCGAACUAUUCUUUCCCCUUCUACUAAAGAAUACUGUGUAUUCGCUGCAAAUAGUGGCAUACGCCUAUUUUUGCAGAGUCCCUUCAAUUAUUGACGGGC